Molecule: transfer RNA, 73 nt
Filed under: Deltaproteobacteria bacterium
Lineage: Bacteria; Pseudomonadati; Myxococcota; Myxococcia
Also listed under: 1 other name
Description: tRNA-Asn
Rfam family: tRNA
About the family: Transfer RNA (tRNA) molecules are approximately 80 nucleotides in length. Their secondary structure includes four short double-helical elements and three loops (D, anti-codon, and T loops). Further hydrogen bonds mediate the characteristic L-shaped molecular structure. tRNAs have two regions of fundamental functional importance: the anti-codon, which is responsible for specific mRNA codon recognition, and the 3' end, to which the tRNAs corresponding amino acid is attached (by aminoacyl-tRNA synthetases). tRNAs cope with the degeneracy of the genetic code in two manners: having more than one tRNA (with a specific anti-codon) for a particular amino acid; and 'wobble' base-pairing, i.e. permitting non-standard base-pairing at the 3rd anti-codon position.
Source: RNAcentral
GCACCUCGAGCUCGAUAGGUUGAGCGCCGGUCUGUUAAGCCGGGGGUUCCGGGUUCGAAUCCCGGGGGGUGCG